This is a long non-coding RNA of Gossypium raimondii (Peruvian cotton), 513 nucleotides long. RefSeq lists it as uncharacterized. The transcript is spliced from 3 exons. The record is from RefSeq and is a predicted model, not a curated record. NCBI's taxonomy places the organism in Eukaryota, Viridiplantae, Streptophyta, Magnoliopsida, Malvales, Malvaceae.
ACAAAAUCACUUCCAUUCUUCCAAAAUCCCUAACUAAGCCCGUGCCCUCCCUCCUCCUUUUUUUCCCCAAUUCGAAAAUUUUCACCUCCGGUCCACCCUCCUCCACCGAUCCACCUCCGGUCCUCCACGGCUGACGGCUCCACCCAAUUCCAAAAUCAGAGCCAAGAGAAGGAAGAAUCUCGGGUUUCAGAUUUUAAGUUGACAGAGAGAGGUGAACCAACUUCUAUAAAAGGUUCCACCUUUGGUGCUUUGACCAUGGGAAACAACGAUGAAGGCAAGUCUUCUAAGUCUGACAAAUCAUCUUCACCAGUGCCAAUGGUAAGCUAAGAGAUUAUGCAUGUUUAACUGUUGAAACUAGAAACAAGCUGGAAUAUUUUAUGUUUAUGUAUUUUUUUUUGGGGAAUAGAUCUUUAAAGUAGCUGUAUGAUUUUCACAACAAAGUUUGAUCAUUACAAUUUUAUUUAGGGAUUUGGUAUGAUGCAACUUAAUAGGAAAUUAAAUGUGCUUCAUUUC